RNAcentral lists this ribosomal RNA (265 nucleotides) under Hymenobacter sp. RNAcentral's name for it is "partial 16S ribosomal RNA". It matches the Rfam family "Bacterial small subunit ribosomal RNA", at positions 1 to 272 of the family's 1533-position model. Lineage: Bacteria; Pseudomonadati; Bacteroidota; Cytophagia; Cytophagales; Hymenobacteraceae. The record is from RNAcentral.
UUUACAAUGGAGAGUUUGAUCCUGGCUCAGGAUGAACGCUAGCGGCAGGCCUAAUACAUGCAAGUCGAACGGUGACAGCAAUGUCAUAGUGGCGCACGGGUGCGUAACACGUAACUAACCUACCUAUAACUGGGGGAUAGCCCGCCGAAAGGCGGAUUAAUACCGCAUAAGCUCUUUACCUGGCAUCAGGUGAUUAGUAAAGAUUUAUUGGUUAUAGAUGGGGUUGCGGGUCAUUAGCUAGUUGGUUGGGUAACGGCUGACCAAG